This is a non-coding RNA of Castor canadensis (American beaver), 2906 nucleotides long. The record is from RefSeq and is a predicted model, not a curated record. NCBI's taxonomy places the organism in Eukaryota, Metazoa, Chordata, Mammalia, Rodentia, Castoridae.
AAUAGGUGUGCUGUGGGGGCGAUCGAGCGACUUAAAGGGCGCUUGAGCCGCACAUGGCGAUGGGAGGUGGCACUCCAGAGCCACAGGGCCUCUCUAGGGUCACUUGGGAGUGUACCAACCAGGCCUUAAUCAGACACGCCCAGACUCGAGGGGACAGUACUAGGCUCACCUAGGCAAGGGUCGGAUUCCUGGAAAAGGUCGGCAAUGUCCCGGCCCCCUAGCACCGUGCGCCCCACAAAAUGCUGAGUAACGAUGACUAGGAAGUCUGCGCGCGCCCUCGCCUCCUCUCCGGAUUUUACUCCGACGGUUCUCCUCUGUCUUUCCUCCUUCCUAUUCUUUCACUUUCGCCAGUGAACCGGCUCCUUCACAGUGACGCUGCAGUUCAGAGCGGUAGAGAUGGCCGGGCGACAUGUUGACCAGCACACCGCUACAGCUGCUGCUUGACACGCCUCAUAACCAUUCUCCCUUUUUGGAUACUGGCUCCUGCUUUUCCUUUGUAUCACUCUCUCCUCCACUGCACCCUGUAGUCCUGUUGGGGCCAGUGAUGCACAGAUAUCACACCUGUUCCCUGCCACUAGCCCCAAAGAUUUUGAAACUGGAACACAGAAAGAUUAAGUAACAUGCUCAAGUUCCACAGCAAGUAAAGAGCAGAGCUCCAGUUCAAACUGCGAUAGUGUGACCCUUGCCCACAGUUCAACGCUGGCAACAGCAGAAACCUAAGAAUGAAACUAUAAAAUUAACUCCUAAUGAGUGAGAGCGGAUAUAUAUAAAAGUGUCUUAAUAAUAGAAUGUCGUCCAGGCCAGAAGCAAGGAAAUUAAACAGAUGCGUCUGAAAGCCCCUGGGUUCAACUGUCUUCUGAGCCAAAUAAAAAUUGCUUAGGUUUUCCUUGGGAGAAAAAUGCUCAUCUAAUUAGUUUGGCAAGCAUGAACCAAGCCCAAACACCUGCUGAUGUUUUUCUUUCACUGUUGCCAGGUGAUCCAUGAGCAAUCUUGGAUCAACAGAUAAUUGGAAUUCACGCUGACUAUAAUUAAUUAUGUAAUUUUAACUUCUGAAGUUUAUUUCCACUAGAAUUACCCCAUAAAACUGGGAUGCUUAAAGGCUGCUGUGGAAAAAGGAGAGAAUAGGGAACCAGAGACUUAUUUACAGUUGACUCAGCUAUGAGUCAUAUCCAUCACAGUGUGAAUUUUCUCAACCCACCAUUAUUAAUUCUAUCAAAUAUCUGUGUAAUUAUGCAGUCAUUCAACUCCUGCAGUGAGUACCUACUAAAUGUCAGGCACUGUUCUGAGCUCUGGGAAUUUGACAGUGAGCAGGCAGAUAAACCUCCUGCUCUCAUGGUGUUCGUAUUCUGUGUGUGUGUGUGUGUGUGUGUUGUAAUCCCACCACUGCCCAAUUAAAAAGCCUGAACUUCUCCUGGCUCCUUAAUGUUUCCAUUACUAUCUGGAAUCAAAGAAUGUGUUUAUCUGAUGGAUGUGCUGAAUCUCUCAGGGAGGCAUCACUUGGCCUAGUCUUUCCAGAGGCACCUAAGGAGAAGACACUGUGGCCAAAGUCUUCCUUGUCAGAGGCGACAUCUGCUGGGAGAUAAUGAUUUGUUAUUUAUUAGGUGUCCCAAAUUCCAUGAAAAAAUUGUGUAUUUCAUAUGUACUUUAUUCUCACAAUAAUCUAAGGUCUACUACAUGUCAGAAGUUUGAUGAUGAGCCUACUUCAUACCUUAAACUUCUCUGAAGUUGAGAUGUAUCUUAUAAGCCUCAUUAUUGGUGUUGUACAGGGUGACCAAAAGAAGAAACUGCAGAGAAAAUUUGGGCAGACCUAAUUUUGAUCUCACUUUGCUUACAGACUAAUCUGGGUUAUUACUCUUAGGUAACUCUUCCUAUCUGCUUGGAUUUCUUUUUACAAAACAGAGUGGUUAUGUGGAUGGCAUUCCAAAGACUGGUCAAGGACAUAGACCAGGAGGGAGCAAUUUUAAUAUAUUCAUUUUCUCUAUUGCACUGACAAGAGUAACAGAAACGACACAAGUAACAAUUAUUGAAUGUUGUUAGGUCCCCUUCAGUUUCCAUGCCUUGUAAAAAGAAAGAUGUCGGUGGCCUUUCUGGUGAAGAAAGUUGAACCUCAUUCUUUGUCUCCUAAACUGGAUGGGCUUGAGUACACAUUUGAACUGAAGUGCUAAAGUGGCUUGGAAAAAACAACUUGACCAAUAUAGACUUCCACAGACUUAAACUUAGCAUUGAGGAGACUGGCUCAAUUAAAGGAAAAAAAUACAUCACACGUAAAUUGUAAGAUCUAAGAAGAGGCAGGAGCCAUGACUACUUUGCUAAGACUGAGACUGUGUCAUGGGAAAACAAGUUCAAUGAUAGCUGUAGUUAAAUUAAGCUGGGAAUGAGUGAGGACGAAGAUUGGAGGAUGGCCUCUGCAUGGGUAGUGUUCAUUUGCUGAGAGUAGACUGUCAAUCACUCUGAACUCCUUUCCAGGGCAGCUGAUGAGAAGGGUAACCACCAUCUUUGUUGAGGUGUUCUCUCCAUGGUCCGUGCCUGUGAUGCUGGCACAUGUGCUGUAGAAAGUCUUGGUGAGAAAUGCGUGAAGGGCAGUUUUUAUACCAAAACCGUUCCUUGUUAUUUUGAAUAUCUACUUCAUUUCUCUAGUAUUUCUUAUUUGCCCAAACACAAUCUGUCAAUGAUUAAUAAAAGAAAGUAUGCAGUGUACUAGUCACUUACAAAGGUUAAUGUCUUGUUACACUUGUAGUUAAAUAUUGCCAGUUUUACGAAAAGCACUAAAACGAGCAUUUUUAGAACUUGGGUUUAUUUGGCUGUCUAUAAGAUGACUACUUUUUAUUGCAUUCUUUUUGUCUGUGGUACUGCAAUUGAACUCAGGGCCUUGAGUUUGCUAGGUAGGCACUCUAUCACUUAAGCCA